GCCUGGGUGGCUCAGUCGGUUGAGCAUCCGACUUUGGCUCAGGUCAUGAUCUCACUCUUUGUGGGUUCGAGCCCCACAUCGGGCU
This is a transfer RNA of Felis catus (domestic cat), 85 nucleotides long. It matches the Rfam family "tRNA". Rfam says of the family: Transfer RNA (tRNA) molecules are approximately 80 nucleotides in length. Their secondary structure includes four short double-helical elements and three loops (D, anti-codon, and T loops). Further hydrogen bonds mediate the characteristic L-shaped molecular structure. tRNAs have two regions of fundamental functional importance: the anti-codon, which is responsible for specific mRNA codon recognition, and the 3' end, to which the tRNAs corresponding amino acid is attached (by aminoacyl-tRNA synthetases). tRNAs cope with the degeneracy of the genetic code in two manners: having more than one tRNA (with a specific anti-codon) for a particular amino acid; and 'wobble' base-pairing, i.e. permitting non-standard base-pairing at the 3rd anti-codon position. NCBI's taxonomy places the organism in Eukaryota, Metazoa, Chordata, Mammalia, Carnivora, Felidae. The record is from Rfam.